Molecule: ribosomal RNA, 253 nt
Filed under: uncultured bacterium
Lineage: Bacteria
Description: partial 16S ribosomal RNA
Rfam family: Bacterial small subunit ribosomal RNA
Source: RNAcentral
UACGAAGGGGGCUAGCGUUGCUCGGAAUCACUGGGCGUAAAGGGCGCGUAGGCGGAUUUUUAAGUCAGGGGUGAAAGCCUGUGGCUCAACCACAGAAUUGCCUUUGAUACUGAGGAUCUGGAGACCGGAAGAGGUAAGUGGAACUGCGAGUGUAGAGGUGAAAUUCGUAGAUAUUCGCAAGAACACCAGUGGCGAAGGCGGCUUACUGGUCCGGUUCUGACGCUGAGGCGCGAAAGCGUGGGGAGCAAACAGG